GAUGAACGCUAGCGAUAGGCUUAACACAUGCAAGUCGAGGGGCAGCAUGGUCUUAGCUUGCUAAGGCUGAUGGCGACCGGCGCACGGGUGCGUAACGCGUAUGCAACUUGCCUCACAGAGGGGGAUAACCCGUCGAAAGACGGACUAAUACCGCGUACACUUGGGAUAGGGCAUCCUAUCCCAAGGAAAUGAAAUUCGCUGUGAGAUAGGCAUGCGUCCCAUUAGCUAGUUGGUGAGGUAACGGCUCACCAAGGCGACGAUGGGUAGGGGAACUGAGAGGUUGAACCCCCACACUGGUACUGAGACACGGACCAGACUCCUACGGGAGGCAGCAGUGAGGAAUAUUGGUCAAUGGGCGAGAGCCUGAACCAGCCAAGUCGCGUGAAGGAUGACUGUCUUAUGGAUUGUAAACUUCUUUUAUACGGGAAUAACAAGAGCCACG
This 442-nucleotide ribosomal RNA is filed under the name Porphyromonas sp. oral taxon 279. RNAcentral's name for it is "bacterial SSU rRNA". It matches the Rfam family "Bacterial small subunit ribosomal RNA", at positions 28 to 460 of the family's 1533-position model. Lineage: Bacteria; Pseudomonadati; Bacteroidota; Bacteroidia; Bacteroidales; Porphyromonadaceae. The record is from RNAcentral.